GUCUGUGGCCACACCACCCUGAACAAGCCCGAUGUCUGAUCUUGGAAGCUAAGCAGGGUCGGGCCUGGUUAAUACUUGGAUGGGAGACCACCUAGGAAGACCAGGUGCUGUAGGCA
This 116-nucleotide ribosomal RNA is filed under the name Pteropus alecto (black flying fox). The record is from RNAcentral. Lineage: Eukaryota; Metazoa; Chordata; Mammalia; Chiroptera; Pteropodidae.